Molecule: unclassified non-coding RNA, 1029 nt
Filed under: Hevea brasiliensis (rubber tree)
Lineage: Eukaryota; Viridiplantae; Streptophyta; Magnoliopsida; Malpighiales; Euphorbiaceae
Source: RNAcentral
UUCAUCGUCUUCAUCAUCAUCAUCUUCACCUGAGUCAUCCUCAACUCUGUCCCAACGAGCAUAAUCCAAAGCAGAGUGGCCCUUUGGUUUUGGAAUUGCUUGCCAUCCUUUGGAAUGUUGGUCAGGUGAUUCCUUCUUCCUCUGUGCUUGAGCUAUAACUUCAGCAGCAAGAGUCUUUCUAGGCUCAACUUUCCGCUGUGCUUGGGCAAUAACUUCAGCAGCAAUGGUCUUUCUAGGCUCAAACUUUUUCUCUCUACUUAUUUCAGAAGACCCAUUGUUCUUUGAUAUUUUAGGCACAACAACUUCAGUAUUAACAGUAGUUGUACAAGGUUCAGUUUGCUGAUUAGUUCUUGCUAUUGCCAUAGCUGCAUCUUCUUCUCCAUCUUGUUCUUCCUUGUGUCUACAUGGUUCUGCUUCAUCUUUUUCUUCCUCUUCUUCCAACUCAGCUUCAGAUUCAGGUAUUGGAGCCAGAGACUUUCCUUAAGCAAAACAAAAUAAUUUCUUUAACUGGCAGCAGGAGAUCAAUAAUUACAAAAUUGCAAUGUUAGCUGAAGACGUUAGUUAUUAAAUUAGAUUUGCCAACAAUUUGCUGAUUAAGAAACCUAGGGAUUGCUGGGCAACAGAUGAAAUUCCAGAUCCACACAUCUUCAUCAAAAGCAAACUUCUAAGGCAAAAAAGUUUUACCCUGACCCUAGUUGAAGUUUUUAAGCAACACUAAACAUUAAGCAUAUUUAUGCAGUUUAAGGAAAAGGCUUAAGACACAAAUGGCAUCAUGUCAAUGUAAUAAAGCAGGAUAUGGGCAGAAGGCAACAUCUUCUUAGACAUCUAUAAUUUGAUGACAUUCAUUUAAUAGAAAAAAUUAAAUGGAAAAGUAGAGUAAACUCUAUAAAAGAAUAGUCUGUGAUGCAGAUCUCAACUCAAGUAAAAUUCCCAAGACUAUACCAGAUCAUUGGGACUCACACAUAGUCUCCAUCCAAGGAUCCAUAUUGAUUUCAUAUGCUAAAUUACACCUUUAACAUAUAUGAUAAA